AAGACUAUAGACCUGCGGAGUACCUGCGGAAGGAUCAUUACCGAGUUUACAACUCCCAAACCCAAUGUGAACGUUACCAAACUGUUGCCUCGGCGGGGUCACGCCCCGGGUGCGUCGCAGCCCCGGAACCAGGCGCCCGCCGGAGGAACCAACCAAACUCUUUCUGUAGUCCCCUCGCGGACGUUAUUUCUUACAGCUCUGAGCAAAAAUUCAAAAUGAAUCAAAACUUUUAACAACGGA
Molecule: unclassified non-coding RNA, 240 nt
Filed under: soil metagenome
Description: partial contains 5.8S ribosomal RNA, internal transcribed spacer 2, and large subunit ribosomal RNA
Source: RNAcentral